UACGUAGGGCGCGAGCGUUAAUCGGAAUUACUGGGCGUAAAGCGUGCGCAGGCGGUGAGUUAAGUCUGAUGUGAAAGCCCCGGGCUCAACCUGGGAAUGGCAUUGGAAACUGGCUCGCUGGAGUGUGGCAGAGGGGGGUGGAAUUCCGCGUGUAGCAGUGAAAUGCGUAGAGAUGCGGAGGAACACCGAUGGCGAAGGCAAUCCCCUGGGCCUGCACUGACGCUCAUGCACGAAAGCGUGGGGAGCAAACAGG
RNAcentral lists this ribosomal RNA (253 nucleotides) under uncultured bacterium. Its description in RNAcentral is "partial 16S ribosomal RNA". It matches the Rfam family "Bacterial small subunit ribosomal RNA", at positions 524 to 776 of the family's 1533-position model. The record is from RNAcentral.